GAUGAACGCUGGCGGCGUGCCUAAUACAUGCAAGUCGAGCGAACAGAUGAGGAGCUUGCUCCUCUGACGUUAGCGGCGGACGGGUGAGUAACACGUGGAUAACCUACCUAUAAGACUGGGAUAACUUCGGGAAACCGGAGCUAAUACCGGAUAAUAUAUUGAACCGCUUGGUUCAAUAGUGAAAGACGGAUUUGCUGUCACUUAUAGAUGGAUCCGCGCCGCAUUAGCUAGUUGGUAAGGUAACGGCUUACCAAGGCAACGAUGCGUAGCCGACCUGAGACGAUGAGCGGUCACACUGGAACUGAGACACGGUCCAGACUCCUACGGGAGGCAGCAGUGGGGAAUUUUGGACAAGGGGCGAAAGCAUGAUCCAGCCAUGCCGCGUGUGUGAAGAAGGUCUUCGGAUUGUAAAGCACGUUAAGUUGGGAGGAAGGGCAGGAAGUUAAUACCUUGCUGGUUUGACGUUACCAACAGAAAAAGCACCGGCUAACUUCGUG
This 497-nucleotide ribosomal RNA is filed under the name uncultured bacterium. Its description in RNAcentral is "partial 16S ribosomal RNA". It matches the Rfam family "Bacterial small subunit ribosomal RNA", at positions 28 to 507 of the family's 1533-position model. The record is from RNAcentral.